GACGGAGGAGGCUAGCGUUGUUCGGAAUUACUGGGCGUAAAGCGCGCGCAGGCGGUCCUGCAAGUCAGGGGUGAAAGCCCGGGGCUCAACCUCGGAACUGCCCUUGAGACUGCGGGACUCGAGACCGGGAGAGGAGAGUGGAAUUCCCAGUGUAGAGGUGAAAUUCGUAGAUAUUGGGAAGAACACCAGUGGCGAAGGCGGCUCUCUGGCCCGGUACUGACGCUGAGGCGCGAAAGCGUGGGGAGCAAACAGG
This 253-nucleotide ribosomal RNA is filed under the name uncultured bacterium. RNAcentral's name for it is "partial 16S ribosomal RNA". It matches the Rfam family "Bacterial small subunit ribosomal RNA", at positions 524 to 776 of the family's 1533-position model. The record is from RNAcentral.